This 752-nucleotide long non-coding RNA is filed under the name Linum usitatissimum (flax). Its description in RNAcentral is "long non-coding RNA (LUSI_LNC003523)". Lineage: Eukaryota; Viridiplantae; Streptophyta; Magnoliopsida; Malpighiales; Linaceae. The record is from RNAcentral.
CUAAGCUGAGGACAAUGUUAAGAAAUAAGCAUAUAUUGCAAUGAGCCUAACAUAGCCAUAUACAGGAUAUAUGAGUGUGUUUAGUAGUAAGAAUGUCUUAAUUAAAAAAAAGUAAUAACAAUGUUUUCUUGUAUAUUUCUAGGUUAGACAGUUAGGGAUUGUACACAGCCUACUGCUCCCUAUUAAUAUUAUGUCUAACACGACAGAUUUCUACAGAUCAGGAAUGACCAUACUACUUACGAUAUAAUAACGUAUAGCUGACUCUAAGGCUAAUCAUAGGCAGAAAAAUAAUCUACUUAUUAAUUAGCAGCUAUUGACUAACGAACUGAUUCUAACAUUAGUAAUAAAAAUUCAGAAGAUAUAACAAUAUACAAGUAACAACUAACCUCCCAAUCAUGUAGUCAUUCCCCGGGUAAAUCAAGCUCUGCAACAUAAAUCAUGGAAGUACCAGGUUCCUGCAUGUUAGGGAAAAUCCAUCCUGCGGGAGAUAUGGAAAAGUAUUCCACGCUAAGAAAAUAAUGACGUUGUUCCAAUAGGCUUCCAAACGCAAUAGCAUCUUGAUCCCCACACCACCUCACCUGAAACACCAUCAACAACACGACACCAGCGCCCAAGUAAACAAGAACUUAUUCACAAUAUUUCAUAAUAAAAAACAAAAGCAAACAACCAAGAAAAACAGAAACAGUAAGGCAACAGUUUGCAAUAGAAAGAAACUAGAAACAUUAUUAGGAUCGUAAAUUGUGAUAUCAUUU